RNAcentral lists this long non-coding RNA (646 nucleotides) under Sorghum bicolor (sorghum). RNAcentral's name for it is "long non-coding RNA (SBIC_LNC016173)". The record is from RNAcentral. Lineage: Eukaryota; Viridiplantae; Streptophyta; Magnoliopsida; Poales; Poaceae.
GGCUAGAGCACGCAAGGAACCACCUCCAUAUUGGAUCAAACAACCAUAGUCCACGGGCGAAGGACAGUAGCGAGAUGAGGUGCUAGUAGGGGUUGGGCCAAAACCCAGGUUCAACCGGACAUAGCCAGCCGCCUCUCGACCACUGCCUUCGUGUGGUGGGCUCUAAUGGGCUCCUAGGCCUAGCCUCGUGUGGUGGUCUUCACUGGUGUACAUCUUGUUGGCGUAUCUUGUUUCUUUGUGUAAGUGAGUUGAAAAGCGUCUUACUGUGAAUAAUUCUCAUGUAUUCGUGUUCCGGACCUGUAAAAUAGAUAUCUCCAAAUACAUGUGGAACUAGGUUAAAAGUAUAUGCAUACGUAGUAUUAGCUUACUAACUUCCCUUAUUUUAUACAUUAAUUGGUGAUCGGAUCUCACUGUUAAUGAUGAGCAACAACAAGACAACACACACUUACAUAGCUCGAUUAGAACCUCUCUAUGUGCUCCUCUAGAUAUUCUUCUACUUUUGCCCCUUUGAUUUUUUCUAUUUGUUGGGUUGUCAUUGUUUUUGGGAAAAUUCAACUUUUAAUUUUAUUUUUUUUUACUUAGGAUCACACAAGAAGUAAGGACAGAAAAAAUGAGCUUAAACAUGUGAAAGACGUGACCUAUAGAA